GGCAAGCGUUGUCCGGAAUUAUUGGGCGUAAGCGCGCGCAGGUGGUUCCUUAAGUCUGAUGUGAAAGCCCACGGCUCAACCGUGGAGGGUCAUUGGAAACUGGGGAACUUGAGUGCAGAAGAGGAAAGUGGAAUUCCAAGUGUAGCGGUGAAAUGCGUAGAGAUUUGGAGGAACACCAGUGGCGAAGGCGACUUUCUGGUCUGUAACUGACACUGAGGCGCGAAAGCGUGGGGAGCAAACAGGAUUAGAUACCCUGGUAGUCCACGCCGUAAACGAUGAGUGCUAAGUGUUAGAGGGUUUCCGCCCUUUAGUGCUGCAGCUAACGCAUUAAGCACUCCGCCUGGGGAGUACGGCCGCAAGGCUGAAACUCAAAGGAAUUGACGG
This 384-nucleotide ribosomal RNA is filed under the name Bacillus sp. CCH_CBGLBI24C. RNAcentral describes it as "bacterial SSU rRNA". It matches the Rfam family "Bacterial small subunit ribosomal RNA", at positions 533 to 916 of the family's 1533-position model. The record is from RNAcentral. Lineage: Bacteria; Bacillati; Bacillota; Bacilli; Caryophanales; Bacillaceae.